RNAcentral lists this ribosomal RNA (320 nucleotides) under uncultured soil bacterium. RNAcentral's name for it is "bacterial SSU rRNA". It matches the Rfam family "Bacterial small subunit ribosomal RNA", at positions 26 to 347 of the family's 1533-position model. The record is from RNAcentral.
AGGACGAACGCUAGCGGCGUGCCUAAGGUAUGCAAGUCGAACGGCCCGCAAGGGUAGUGGCGAACGGUCGAGUAACACGUAGACAACCUGCCUUUCAGUGGGGGAUAACAGCUCGAAAGGGCUGCUAAUACCGCAUAGGGCGGCCUGGCGAUGCCAGGCAUGCUAAAGGAGCAAUCCGCUGGGGAGAGUGGGUCUGCGGCCUAUCAGGUAGUUGGUGGGUAACGGCCUACCAAGCCGACGACGGGUAGCGGGUCUGAGAGGAUGAGUCCGGCCGGGACGGGGACGUGGAGACCGACCGGCCCCGACGUCCCGUUCGGGGA